UACGGAGGGUGCAAGCGUUAUUAGGAAUUACUGGGUUUAAAGCGUGCGUAGGCGGCUUUAUAAGUCAGAAGGGAAAGAUCUGAGCUUAACCUAGCAAUUGCUUUUGUCACUGUAGAGCUAGAAUCUGGUUGAGGUCGGCGGAAUGUGGCGUGUAGCUGUGAAAUGCAUAGAUAUGCGGUAGAACACCAAUUGCGAAGGCAGCUGGCUGGGCUUAGAUUGACGCUGAUGCACGAACGCGUGUGGAGCAAACAGG
This 253-nucleotide ribosomal RNA is filed under the name uncultured bacterium. Its description in RNAcentral is "partial 16S ribosomal RNA". It matches the Rfam family "Bacterial small subunit ribosomal RNA", at positions 524 to 776 of the family's 1533-position model. The record is from RNAcentral.